Molecule: RNA transcript, 2909 nt
Organism: Ostrinia furnacalis (Asian corn borer)
Lineage: Eukaryota; Metazoa; Arthropoda; Insecta; Lepidoptera; Crambidae
Gene: eIF2A
Gene name: eukaryotic translation initiation factor 2A
Exons: 14
Source: RefSeq, a predicted model, not a curated record
GACUGACAGUGACGUGUAUGACAAAAAAUUUGGUACAUGCUGCCUGUUUGUUGACCUCUAUUUUGAAAAUGAAAAGUAUCUUGUUUUAGUACAUACCCAAUUAAUUUAAUAGUUAUCACAAUGAGUGCUACACCUUGCAUCGCUGGUUUGACCAAUAAAAACAUAUUCUUGGUGGAUUUCAAAGAACCAUACGCAGAGAAAAAUCUCAGAGAUGAGGCCACUCUCAAUAUACGAAGCAUUAUAUUUAGCCCUAAAGGCACAUACCUUGCAUACAGAACUGAUAAAAAGGCAGAAAUAGUGAAAUGUGCAGACUGGUCAGUGGCAGCUACCAUAGAUGGCAACGUAAAAGAUAUGUUCUUCUCCCCUCUGGACACCUAUUUCAUGGUGUGGGAAAUGUUUUUGCUGACUAAAGAAAACCCUGAGGGCAAAUGCAACCUUCAUGUUGUAAAAUCAGCAACUGGAGAAAACAUCGGAUCAUUUAAACAAAAGAAUCAGACCGGCUGGGAACCACAAUGGUCAUCGGAUGAGAAACUCUUUGCCCUUCAAAUGAACAAUAUUAUAUACAUCUAUGAGGAUGGAAAACUGGAGCGCUACACAAAACAGAUCAAAGCAGAAAAGCUGAAGUCUUUCAGCAUCUCUCCUAGCCCUGCACCCACUUACUAUUUUGCUGUGUUCUCUUUGGGCAAACAGGACCAGCCGUCGUUCUGGCGCGUGUUCAAGUAUCCAGAGUUUGAUACCAGCAAUGCAGUUGUGAGCCGCUCCUCGUUCCAAGCUGACAAGGCCACCUUCCACUGGAAUAGACGAGGCACCAACAUCUUUGUUAUGACCCAGACUGAUGUGGACAAGACUGGCGGAUCUUACUAUGGAAAGCAGUCGUUGUCACAUGGCGAUGUAAAAGGAAACUCGGGAAAUAUGAGUUUUAGUAAGGAAGGUCCAAUCCACGCGAUCUCGUGGAACCCCGGCAACUGGAACGAAUGGGUGGCGGUGUACGGCCACGCGCCGGCCAAGGCGACGCUGUUCAACGCGAAAUGCGACCCGCUGUUUGAAUUUGGAACAGGAUCGUGGAACGCCAUCUACUUCCCACCAGACGGGCAUUGCGUUCUACUAGGCGGGUUCGGUAACAUAGCCACAGGCAGCAUAGAAGUAUGGGACAUGCGUGGCUACAAGAAGAUCGGGUCUUGCGCAGCGCCCGACACCACGAGUCUGCAGUGGGACCCUCGAGGAGAGACCUUUAUCACCGCCACUACUUAUCCCAGGCUCACUGUUGGAAAUGGGUACAAAAUAUGGCAUUACACCGGAGCUCUCAUGCACAAGCGUGUAUGCCAAGAGAAAGAAAACCUACUGAGUAUCACUUGGCAACCAGGAAACUUCCCUAAGAGCGAACUAUCCAGGGCUCCACCGAAGGCCAUUGAAGACUCGACACCAAAGCCAACCGCGGCGUACAGACCGCCCGGCGCUAGGAAUAAGCCGUCUACGUUCACGUUACACGAACAUGAGAAGCCACACAAGCCUGGUGAAAAUGCUAGCGCUGCUCCGUCCAAGCAAGCUAUCAAGCAAAAAGAAAAGCGCGAAGCCCGUAAAGCGCGAAAAGCCGAAGAACGCGCGAAGGGAGAUGCGUCCCCUCCGCCGCCGGCGACCACGCCCCGCGCGCCUUUCGUCUCCACUGGGGACCCGGAAAAAGACAAGAAGAUCAAGAACCUUAAUAAGGUAAGUUGUAGUUUUGGAUAGUAAAUGAGGUAGUAUAAGAGUAACAAAAAGGAGGAAAGGUCGAAAAACGCGCGAAGGGAGAUGCGUCCCCUACGCCGCCGGCGACCACGCCUCGCGCGCCUUUCGUCUCCACUGGGGACCCGGAAAAAGACAAGAAGAUCAAGAACCUUAAUAAGAAACUGAGCGACAUCGACAAGCUGAAGCAACAAAAAGCCGCUGGAAAAACGCUCGAACUGAAUCAGCUCGAGAAAAUCAAGAACGAGCCAGCUUUACUCCAGGAGUUGGCGCAACUGCGGUUAUGAUCUCAACAAACAAACGAAACUGACCUGUAAUAUAACAGUAAGACGGUAUAUAUCCCCUUGGACAUUGCAUUUUUUUUUUAGUUUAGUUAGAAAAGUCGCUAUGCGUUCUCUUUUUUUAUAAACCUGUCGCAUUUUUUGUGAGCGCGUGAAAUAAGACUUCUGUACAACUAGUUAGUCUCUGAAACUAUUUAAAAAUGUGUAUAUGACAAAUAAUAUGUGUACAAAUUGAAUCAUAUCAGCUACGGUGGCUGUUCAUUAAGAGAUGAUUAGCAAAGAGAUUAAUUAAAAAGCGGUAGAUUCGUUAAAAUCGGCCUUGGCUAAACAAUAUUGUAUUUGUGCUAGCUGGUAUCAUGAUCAUUAAAUAUUUAUACAUUUUAUAUGAAUUCGAAAAUUUUAAAUCUAAAUGUGAAAUGUGUAGCGAGUGUACAUUUUUGUUCGUAUACUAGAAUUUGUAUUUGAUUUAUAAUAGUAUAUAAUAUUAUAUUUCUAAACCCAGAGCAAUACUUUGUUGAUUUCCAAAACGCUUGCUUAAAAGGGGCCUUGGUAUCUUUAGAAAUUAUACUAAGUAAAUCCAAACAUAGUUAUUAAGAAAAUCAAAUAUAUCCUCAUUUAUUCAAUCUACAUACUAUUUAUAUAAUAAAACGUGACAAUAUUUACCCAAAAAUAAACAGUUCCCAUAUAGGUACAUAGUUUCUUGAGAUUCUUACGAAAAUGCAAAGUGCAUUUCUAUAUUUUAUAUUUCUUAAUUUUCCAUUUCUUUUUCUAUACUGUUAUUUUAAUAAUAAUAUAAUUAUUUAAGCAUCUAGUGUGAACAUAAAAAUAGCUCAAUUUGUUUUCGUUUUACUCUUUUCUAAGCGACUGCCUAACAUGUGUGCGGAAAAUAAAUAUGGAAAUUAUUUG